UUGAAAGUUCCGUACCUUUCUGCCCAUGUAGAUCGGUAUGCCCACAAUGAUGACUGGGAUGGCGAUGCCCGCUAUGAGGGAGAUGACCACCGGUGCUCCGAGCAACAUGCCCACCUGCCACAGAACCUUGCGGUUCUAAAAUGGACCUCGGCCAGAAGAGGGCUACGUGUUCCGGGCACUGGAGAUCUGGAGACACACAGGUCAGCAGUGACUCCCUCCAAGAGGAGCUCAGACUUAAGGUUGCAAUUGGUGCAGCCUUAAAACAUAACGUAUGAGCUUGACCUGACAGGUAUUUAUCUCUGGCUUAAUACCUAUAGAUGAAAUAGUGGCUAUAUUAAUUUAAUGAUUGUAGCGAUGAAGUAUUUUCGUUCUUUAAGAUAAAUGACACCGGCCAAAGUUGCACUUGUGCCAAAGAUUUUCAUCCACUUCAUGCUGUUGAGAAGGAUCAAAUUCUGCUGCUCUUUCUCAUGGAUUUUGGUGCAGUGCUUCUACUAAAUAGGUCAUGAAGAUAGUUCACUAUGGAACAUUAUCAUUUACAUUAUAAAUUAGUCUUUGUUAACUUUGUUUUAUUUUUAAAAUCCUUGGGUCUUAAAUCGCCAAUAGUCCAAAACAUCAGAGUUAAAUUACAGCUUGAGAGUUUGAUAUGUGCAUUUGUUUGUGCGUGUUUCUUGUGUAUUCAUGAGCCGACUGCGAAGAGGACACCUGAGGUAGUGCACGUCGGUGAUCUCCUGCAUACACAGCCAGCAGAACUGACAGGCACACACAGUGCAGUUCAUACGGUUACAGCUGCCGUCAUUGGUCUUCAUGAUGUAGGCACCACAGCGAGGGCACGGUUUGAUCUCCUCCGCAUCUGAAGCGACAAGAGUGCACACGGAACAGUUGGACCGAGCCGACCUCGCCGAUUCCCUGGUUACAAGACAUGUGAGACUGGGACAGAGCUGCCGGUCGUACCUCCUCCAGGUUCUUCAUUGAAGACGUACAGCGUGGAGGCAUCGUUGCCACCUGAGGUGUGGCGGGCUCGCUGCCGCCGGGCCUGGUCGCACGUCUGGUUGGGAUGCCACAGCU
Platichthys flesus (European flounder) is the source of this 1065-nucleotide long non-coding RNA. RefSeq lists it as uncharacterized. The transcript has 3 exons. The record is from RefSeq and is a predicted model, not a curated record. Lineage: Eukaryota; Metazoa; Chordata; Actinopteri; Pleuronectiformes; Pleuronectidae.